AUUGAACGCUGGCGGCAUGCUUUACACAUGCAAGUCGAACGGUAACAGGCCGCAAGGUGCUGACGAGUGGCGAACGGGUGAGUAAUGUAUCGGAACGUGCCCAGUCGUGGGGGAUAACGCAGCGAAAGCUGUGCUAAUACCGCAUACGACCUAUGGAUGAAAGCGGGGGACCGUAAGGCCUCGCGCGAUUGGAGCGGCAGAUAUCAGAUUAGGUAGUUGGUGGGGUAAAGUCUCACCAAGCCGACGAUCUGUAGCUGGUCUGAGAGGACGACCAGCCACACUGGGACUGAGACACGGCCCAGACUCCUACGGGAGGCAGCAGUGGGGAAUUUUGGACAAUGGGCGCAAGCCUGAUCCAGCAAUGCCGCGUGCAGGACGAAGGCCUUCGGGUUGUAAACUGCUUUUGUACGGAGCGAAACGGCCCUCUCUAAUAAAGAGGGCUAAUGACGGUACCGUAAGAAUAAGCACCGGCUAACUACGUGCCAGCCGCCGCAGUAA
This 498-nucleotide ribosomal RNA is filed under the name uncultured bacterium. RNAcentral's name for it is "partial 16S ribosomal RNA". It matches the Rfam family "Bacterial small subunit ribosomal RNA", at positions 30 to 523 of the family's 1533-position model. The record is from RNAcentral.